CCCUAUCAGGUGAUACGCGUUUACAGAUUGUAACGCAACAUUGUCAGAAACCUUCAGACUUGCUUUGUUCUUAGUUUAUAACUUCGUCUCAACUGCAUGGGACGCACGGAAGGGAUUUGCAAAAAGGCGGUCGUGACCUGUUUGAAGAUGGAGCUGAGUGGUCACCUUCACGCCUCGGCCGCGUUACUCCCAGGGAAAUUGGCUCCAGAACCGACUUAAUAAAAGACUGGACCUGAACGCAUUGGUAAAGAGAAAUAAACCCGAUUAUCCAGCCAUAUAAACUCUCUCAGAUACACGGCUACUCAACUAUAAGUGAGGAGGAUAAUUCUGGCGAAGAACGAUGAGACAUAUCAAAAGACCACCACCUGACAGAGACGGUGGACUUCAGCUCCUUACCACUUCAAGGGACGGACUUAACUAAUAGGCAGGCUACUAGUUUCAGACUUUGGACCGCUAUGUUGGUAUACAGCUAUCAAAGAGAAAGCAUAAGGGCAAUUUGAACGCAUCAGAGUUGAGAGUGACUUUGCGUAAUUGAAUCAUCACUCUGAUGCAAAUCACGACGACCGAAGUCACACCUAUUUGAGUUACAUUUUAUGAUUACUUUGUUAAAUAAACACCACAUCAAAAUUGUUUAAAUUUAGCUGUUUAGAGCCUAUUCUAUAUCAAGCGCAAAUUGUUAGAAGAAUGAAACAUUUUGAAGAAGAACCAUAAAGUUUACUUUGAACUUUAGAUAAAAUAGGGUUAUUUUUAAUCGAUGUAAAAAGUAAUUAAAUUUACCAGGAGACAUUUUCACUAGAUCCACAAUACAAAAUCUGUACAUUAAUUUUGGAGCUGAAACGUAAGACCAAACAGGUCUGUCAGUAACGUGCUCAUUUUGCAAAUGACAAUAAUUUCGUAAGACCAAUACAGUCUUGCAAAAGAAUCGAAAUUAAAACUAAUUCAACAUUGAUCAUUUAAACACUAACAAUUCAUUAAUCACUUGAAUCUGAUAUCCAAGUUUAACCAAACUAAAUAACAUCUAAUAGCAAGUGACUAAUAAACCCUUGGAUCACAUCUUCAUACAGAUUAUGAAAUUAAAAAUUGAAAAAAAUAUUGAAACACCGUAAAAUAAAAAGACCCGAUUGAGAUCACUCAAUGAAGUAUCUGAAAACACGCUCGGUACAGAGUUUCGAUUCUCGGUAGAGACAAAAAUUUCCUUUUCGCCACUGUAUCAUGGGAUCAACCUGCAUAAUCUCCUAUCCAGUACUUACAGGGGGCGCUUUCCGUGAACUGAAAUGACAGACACGUGAAGCUAAUAAAUUACCUUCACAUAACACCAAAGCUUGGAAUGAGUAGACUACCUAGACUUCCAGCUACUCGCUUCUUUACGUCUCCAUGGCACGGUGCUUAGACACAGGGGCAUUUUAAAACUGUAACGUUAAAUAAGUGAGUUUUUAGGGUAUAAACUGGUUUUAAAUGGAUUGAGAUAUGUUACAGAACAAAAGAAAUUUAUAAUAAUUGUAUUAAAUUCUGAAAGAAGACUCCGUAGAAUUCAAAUGUAUACGGUUCAUAUUUCUGAACACUGUGUAAGCAUUGUCUUAAGAUGAAUUACUUCGUACCAGCCGCAUGACACCCAUCUCAUCAGAACUUUCUUUGCCAGUAACCACAACCUUUGGUUGUCCCUUUUUCUUCUUUUUAUUAUUUAGCUUUGAAGAAUACUCAGGAAAUUAAGUUUCAAAAAUAGAGACUGACGUGGGGGGAGAAGAAAUUGAUAAGCUCUCAAACGGCAUCAGUGAGCGUCUGUUACCGCAUUAAAACACAGUGUUUUGCUCGCAAGUAUAUAUCCAACUCUACGCACUCUCAAGAGUGUAGUUCUCUGGUUCUCAGGAUGGAUCGUACUCAGUCCAUUCCACGCAAAUUUAUUUUUACAUCUAACAAAACAGAUGUCACAAGAUGUAUGACUACUGAUUCCAUGGAGCAGUAUUCGUCCUGAGAAGCUGAUAGUAGCUUAGAGAAUGACGGAUAUGGAAUUCACAACCGGCGUUCACUUUGUGAACUUGACGGAAGGAACGAAUAAAAGGAACUACAGCCCUCAUAUUCAGGGAAGCGAGAAUCCAAAUGACGCAGGGAGCGUUUUCGUGGUUCAAAUGACAGGCUGUUUUCCAUUGUCAAAGAGCUGCUCAAGAAAUAGUGAGACACAUCACGGAAAUGCGCCUUAUCUUUCUGGUCUCUCUGUAAGACGUCAAUCAAGAAACCAGGAGCUGCCUGUUAUCACAGCUCCACCGCCCUCUCUCCUUUUGAAAAACAAUAACGAACAAGCGAAGACCCAAACCGUAGUAAAACCGUUAUCUUAAAUUUUAAGAAAGACAUGCGAAGUCAUGAGGAGGAAAUUAAAAACUUCGGGAGUGUUGGGCAAGCAAUUUAAAUUGGCAGUUACAGAAAAAGCUACCCUUUCACAUCGAAACAUGCCUGAAUAUCUCCUGUUACCCGCUUUCUUACAACCGCGUUGCUUUCUGGUAAGAUACUGAUGUGCUGUUGGCCUGUUUCAUUGCAUCACUUCUUAUUUUCAGUGUUAUUUAUGAUUUAUUUUCUCUCAUUUAAUUAAAUGUUACAAUAAACCAGGAAUGUGAACACGAUAACGAAUUUCAGAACUAUACUGCAUUGCUGUUAUAGAACCAAGAACAAACGUUUGUGUAAUGUGAUUGCCAGUCAGGAGAAACGAGAAUUUCGAUUUGAAGAUAUCCAAUUAAACUUUGAUAAGCAAAUGUUUGUAAAUUAUCUUAAUUUUGUUUAUUUGCAAUGAACCUAUUCUUUAAUACG
This is a non-coding RNA of Zootermopsis nevadensis, 2799 nucleotides long. Lineage: Eukaryota; Metazoa; Arthropoda; Insecta; Blattodea; Termopsidae. The record is from RefSeq and is a predicted model, not a curated record.